UUGUGUGAACCAGCUACAUACUGUAUACAAUGCCUGUUUACUCAUAUUUCACUUAUUUAGUAACUCAAAAUAAUUUGCUCACUCAUUUAUUGUUCCCUCUCUUACUCCACCAUCUGAGCUGCUGCUGUUCACUGUGGACUAAAGGGAUUAUGUGCAGCUCCAACAUCCACACAGGAAGCAGCAAAGGAGGAAGACCCAGACUCAGUAUUUUUGCAGAGCAUCCAAGGUUACCUUGACGACAGAGAAGAAAUGAUUACAUCAUUUCAUGAUUACAAUGAUUACAGGACAAGCUGGAGAGCAGACAGAGACUCAGUGUUCCUGCAGUGCACCCAGUGUUACCUCAACAAGACAGCUGGAGAGAAGUGGUCAUCUGUGUUUCAGUCCACUAAGGCAGGACUCCUCUUGUGUCCAGGGGCCCCUGAGAGGGGAUGUGAACCAAACUGCACAAAGCCAGCAUCACAACCAUCCACUGAACACACUCUGUCACGCUAUUUCUCAACUUUACCAGUUAGCUGUUGCAAUCA
Molecule: long non-coding RNA, 524 nt
Organism: Epinephelus moara (kelp grouper)
Lineage: Eukaryota; Metazoa; Chordata; Actinopteri; Perciformes; Serranidae
Exons: 4
Source: RefSeq, a predicted model, not a curated record